This is a long non-coding RNA of Girardinichthys multiradiatus, 1438 nucleotides long. RefSeq lists it as uncharacterized. The record is from RefSeq and is a predicted model, not a curated record. Lineage: Eukaryota; Metazoa; Chordata; Actinopteri; Cyprinodontiformes; Goodeidae. The transcript has 3 exons.
CGUGUUUUUGGAAUGAUGGCUGUUAAAGUACUGAGCUCCUACACCAUGUCUUGUCCUCUUGUAGGGAGUGAUGAGGGGGAGUGGAUAUUGGAGGCAUGGGUACCCUCCAUGAUAUUGUGAGGCUUUAGUUGACUGUUCUGUAUCGCAGUUUAGCAAUUAUGUUUUAUAUCGCCAGGUUUAGUUAAUUAAGCAUGUUAACUCGCUUGUUGUAUUUUAAUUGCAGCUAGCUCAUUGCAAGCAUGGCGGGUUUAGACGGGUCUAUCUCAUUGUGUCUGAUUCAGCAUUUUAAAAUGUCCAUUACAGCUUACAUUCUUAACGUUGAUAAUUUUCUAAUUUUUAUUGUAAUUCCAACUACUGAACUAGCACAUCUUGAAAAAUACUGUGAUAUUGGCAUGGUUAAUUUAGUUAAAGUUGUAAAUUGUCAGCGAUGGCCACAUAAAUGGGGACAUUAUCAUUAAACGUGAUUGUGAAGAUGAGUCAUUUUUUAAUUAUUCUUUUCCAGGUAAACCACACGAAAAUGGCUUAAGUGAACUGCUGAACCAUGUUGCAUACAAAGCACCACAAAGAGAAUCCAUGGCAUUUGGGAGCUCCAUGACAGAUUUACUGGACCUUGUUCUGAAAGGUUUCUCAACUUUCUGGAUCAGACUGAAGGCUUCAUGUGAUGGCCGACACAGCACUCCUGGUUUGAAUUCCUUCAGUAUCAAUAGGCUGCUCCACACAAAGGCCAGGGCUGGGAAAUCCUUAAUGUCCAGGAACUCUGCCAGAAGACUGCCCCAAGACAAUCAAUGCAGGCCCCACCUUCAUUUUGUCAAAAUGACUGGGCUGAAGGGUUUUUGCAGUUAUAACUAUAUAGUUAUAGUUAUACAGUUUACAGUUAUAGCAUUUCCAUGCUAGCAUGUGCUAGCAUGCAGAGGAGAUCAGAAAGAGCAUUUAUAAUAGGUAUUGUUACUUCUGUCAGGAUUUUCAAAUUAUGAUUUAGUAACCAGUAAUCAGUUCAUUGUUAUUUAAUUACCAAAAGUCACAGGAAAGAGUGAAAAAAAUCGCUUUUUGUGUUAUGAUGCGCUUGAAGCCGUUCAACCUGACUGACACCGCUGAGAUGUUUGGAACUAUUGAGAGCUACAUGAACCACGUGACCGCCUAUCGGCGAGUUCAAAGAGUGUUGUAACUCUCUCUUUCUACGGCGCUGGACCGUCCCAAUCAGCAGCUGCUCACUUCCGGCCUCCGUGGUUUUAGCUAGCGCCAUAGAAUGACCCUUUCUCUUUCUAUGGCGCUGGUUUUAGCGGUCGACGAAGGACCCGCAGCCCACGUAGACCGGGUCCUUCGAAGGAUGCAGCCCUUGAGGCUGACUUCCGGGUCAGCCUUGGCGUUGGUACAUUUCCUUUCCGGUUGAUUUUGUCAAAUUUGUUUCAGUACUUGUAAAAGUCUUUUGCAUCUUGUU